This 491-nucleotide ribosomal RNA is filed under the name uncultured bacterium. RNAcentral's name for it is "partial 16S ribosomal RNA". It matches the Rfam family "Bacterial small subunit ribosomal RNA", at positions 29 to 506 of the family's 1533-position model. The record is from RNAcentral.
AGUGAACGCUGGCGGUAGGCCUAACACAUGCAAGUCGAACGGCAGCACAGUAAGAGCUUGCUCUUACGGGUGGCGAGUGGCGGACGGGUGAGGAAUACAUCGGAAUCUACUUUUUCGUGGGGGAUAACGUAGGGAAACUUACGCUAAUACCGCAUACGACCUACGGGUGAAAGCAGGGGAUCUUCGGACCUUGCGCGAUUGAAUGAGCCGAUGUCGGAUUAGCUAGUUGGCGGGGUAAAGGCCCACCAAGGCGACGAUCCGUAGCUGGUCUGAGAGGAUGAUCAGCCACACCGAAACUGAGACACGGUCCAGACUCCGACGGGAGGCAGCAGUGGGGAAUAUUGGACAAUGGGCGCAAGCCUGAUCCAGCCAUACCGCGGGGGUGAAGAAGGCCUUCGGGUUGUAAAGCCCUUUUGUUGGGAAAGAAAAGCAGCAGGUUAAUACCCCGCUGUUCGGACGGUACCCAAAGAAUAAGCACCGGCUAACUUCGU